GCACGUCUGCAAGGGACACGAGGUUAGAGGCGGCGCUCACCCCUCCUCCCGGCCCCUCCAGGCCAGGCUGGGUGCAGAGCCCGGGGCGGACACCCUCUGAAGCAGGGUCUGGCAGAGACACCGUGGGGGCAGAGUACAGCGCUCUCCGUCCUCCGCCUGAGGCACCGUGGGCGCUCCUAACACCGCCACAGAGAAAGGCUGACCCUGCCCACCGUUCCCGGGCUCUCCAGGGUUCCCCUGGUCCAGGUGAGGGUCAGAAACCACGGGGUGGGAAUGGGGAAGGACCAGGCAGGGCAGCCGGCACCUGACUGGACCCUCAGUGACCACGUGCCUGAAGUCAGGCUGGGGAGGUAGGAGACCAGUGCAGGAAUGACUGGCAGAGGCCCUGGAGGAGGCUGGGUUCAGGGAGACCCACCUGGCCCAUGGGAGGAGCAACACCCGCACUCCCACCUGCUCACGGGACCUGGGCCAGCAGGAUGGCCUGGGGGCAGGGCCUGGGACCUGGUAGGAGGCACACGGAGGCCAAGUUCUGAAGGCUCCCCUCCUUACGGUGGCUUGGGUUCCUGCCCCUGUCCCCAAGGUAGCCAUUCAGGUCGAGUGCUCCCGUUGUGGGACGGCAGGUGUGGGGCCAGCCAGGGGCCGGGCCACGCCGGGGCUGGUGGGGAAAUGGCAGGCCGCCUCGGGUGACAGCACCACCAAGGCAAGAAGUGAGUGGCUGGCAGGGCCCCGAGCUGGCCCCGAGCUGGCCCACAGCCACCUCCCCCUCAGUGGCUGCACUUGUGUCCCUCCCCAUCUACAAGGCAAGGCCUCCAUGGCGCCAGCUACGCAGGAGCAGGAGGAGCUCCGUCAUGCCAACGCCGACUGUCCCUCACACCCUGCCAGCCCCUGUAGCCAGUGUGAUAAGGACAGAGGCGGACAAGUCCCAGCGCUGAGAGUUCACAGUGGGAGAGAACAGGCCAGUCAUCCAAGACUUGGGCCAGCCUGAGUCUGCAGUGGCCCAGCAGCAAGGGUGUCCACAAGGGGGCCGGAGGGGUCCCUCCCUCGGUGCAGGCACAGGGGACGGUACCAGAAGGAAGAGGACACCUUUCUCUUUUCCUUUAUAUAUUUUUAGGCUAUGAUUUGCCCUCAAAACUUUGCUUCUGCUGCACCUUACAGCCCUGACUGACAGAACCGCCUGAGCUGAGUCUGGCCAGGCUGGCAUCUGCUUGGGGCUGAGCCCUUGCCCACGGCUCUAUCUGUAGCACACAUAAGCACCUCCGACAGUGUCUGGCACACAGCGGGCAGCCAAGAGGACGGGCUGUUCUUUGCACUAGCUGCCGGGCUCUGCUGAGGCCAGAGCGAGUGUCAGAGGAACCCAACACUCAUGGCCUGAGACUCCUGUCAGAUGCAGCCAAGCCAACACUGCCAUCUGUGAGGAGACACCCACACCCGGUUCUAGAAAUGCCCCUCUGGAGAGGUCAGCCGCGACACCAGCAAAGCUCCAUCUUGCCGCAUGGGGGCAGCCGCUGCGGCGCCAGCAGGUCAGACCCUGGCCCAGGCACACCACGCCUCCCCGUGACACUGCCCGGAAGCCCGUCUCCCCAGCGGGCAGGGCAGGCUUGCUUUCUCCAGAGAGUGCCACAGUUCCCGAGUUCCAAAGGACACCCUGGUUGGCUCCCUGGGGACCCACAGGGUGCUGCUUAGGGAACACGGUGAAAAUACAUCUCAGGAUAACAGCCCAGUGGCGGCCAGUGACUGAGCUGUCCUGGAGAGGACAUCGCUGCCGCAUAGCUGUGCCCAGGCCGCGCUCGCAGCCCCCAGAGCCACUGUCCUAACACCGGGGCUGAAGCUGGCUCACCUCUCGGACCUGGGACCAGAACCAGCUGCCUGCCAACCUUGGGGAAGAGGAGUGCCUCCUCUCCGGAGCCCCGAUGAGCAAGGCUGCUGCCGGCAGGAACAGCGGAAGCCCCAGAGGAGCUGGCCCCGGGACCUGGGUCUGCGGGCGCAGGAGGGCGCUGCAGCGAGGGAGGAAGCUCCAGGAAACUGGCCCUGGCUUUCCUGCUCACCAUGGUGCCCAGGACCCAGAACAGAAAGGCACGUGGCAGACACUGGUCUUCUUCCUUAUCUGGUGAAGGAAUGAAAGGGUGGUCCUCGGGGCACCACAGGGCUUGGGGCUGGAGCCCUGUCCACACCCUGCGCCUCCACUCACUCUGCCUGUGUUCCCACCCCGUGCUCCUCUGUAACAGGAGGGGACUGGAGCCACCAUCUAAAGUGCACUCCAAACAGAGGACCCGGGGACCAAGGCCGGGCCCACAUGAGGGUGCACUCCUGGGGAGGCGGCUCCUGCAGGGGACCGCAUGGCGCCAGGCUUCUCCCAGGAGCAGACGAGCUUCUUUUCUCAAAGUAUUAAAUCAGGUCAAGGACCAUCUUUUCCUCUGAGCCUCUGGCCCCAGUCUCUCCUCCGCAUUUUGAACUGGCCAGAGUCACGGACUUCAUCCUGCCUGGCCCAGAAUUCCUCCUGAGGAGGCUGCUCUGUGCCGCACCCGGCAGGCUCUGCAGAACCGCAGGCUAAAAAUAGGAGACGCGAGGCCAGGGCUCCCGGGGCUGCGCUGGCAGACAGGAAGGGACAUGGCCUGGGCUUGGGCCCAGGGUGGCCAACAUGGGCCUGAGAGAAUGGGCAUGUGGCCCGUGGCAGGGGAGGCUGGGCUGGCUCAAGGCUCUUACUGCAGCUGACAGGAUCCCCACCUGCCAGGCCCGGGCCACCUUGUCUUCUAGGAGCACAGAGAGCAGGUGCAGCUCUAGUGGUUCUGUAGAACUCGGGGCUGCAGAGGGGUGAUGUGGGUUGCCACACAGGAGCAAGCCCUGAGCUGCUGGGGAGGCACGGGGGCCUAGGAGGAGUCAGCAAGCCACCCCUUUUCAGGAGAGUGAUGACGAUUCGUCACACAGACAUGCAGAAGUACACUCUGUUGGUGGCACCUGGGUUUUCCACCUCUCGCUGUAGGAAAUGCUGCUGUGAACUUCAUUCAAGUUUUAGUUUCUCUGCGUGGACGCCUGAGAGGACUUGCACGGAGGAGGACGGCGCUGCCAGAGUGCUUCCCCUCAGCCCUGAGGGCUGCAGUCCCCCGGUGGCGCGCUCUUGUCUGCACCUCUGUGACACUGCCUCCGGUCUGCCUUUUGGGUCCUGACGUCUUGAGUGGGCUGAGGGACCCUGUCCUCUGGUGCCCAGCCAUGCGACCUAGUGCUCACUGUCCCCCACCACCUGGGGACAGCCCUGUGUGCAGGCUGCAGGCUUGCUCCCUGCAGAAGGACCUGGAACCACUAGCCCAGGCCUCCACUCUUGAGGUGCUCCCUCCCUGGGAGCCUGGGCCCCAGCAGGGCUGGAACCGAGGCCGAGGCUCUUCCCAGGAGCAGCUUCCAGAGCUGAGAGACAGGCCAGUUAGGGGCCACCAGAGAGGGGCAGGACUCCAGCUCUGGGCAAGCCACAUUACAAGAGCAAAGCCCUAGGCCACAGCAGGGUGGACACAGGAAUUAGAGCCAUGGGACAGGGCAAGGAGGGCCGGAUCCCAGGACCUGCGGGCCAACUGGUCGGGACUGGGCACUGCAGCAUGUCAGCUGUCCCUCCAGUCUGGUCUCUGCUGACUGGUGCUGGAGGGCCAAUCCUGGGCCAGGAGUAGCUGGUCUCCGCUGGCACCUCGGAGAUAUUUGCUGGCUUCUUAGGGAGAACAGGCCUGUCCAGCAGUGGUUGUAGACCACAGUGGACUUCAGAAGACAGCCUAGCUCCCCUCAUCCAGGGUGGUGCUGGGCAUGCGUUUCCGAUGUGGUGUCCACAGGCACCAUCUGUCUUCCUCAGAGCGGCUGUGGGGAGGAGCAGGGAGAGGAGGUGUGGAGGACGGCAGGGUGGCCCCUCCCAGGCGGCGCUGCACCCGGCUCCUGCUCCCACACAUGGUUCAAGGAACCCUCUAAGACAUGAGUGGGCCCAGGGCGAGUGCAAGUCACCACUGUGGCAGGUGCGGGACCCGUGAAGCCUUGCCCUCCCAGCUCAGCCCCCACCUGCUCUGCCGCUUGAGGACAAGGCUCCAGAGGCCGGAACGUGAAGGAUGAUUUUUGCUCCAGAGCUCCAACUCCGAGCGAGGCUGUCCUGCCUCUCCUCCCUGUAACUCCAUUCACCUGCCCAGGAGUCCAGCAGAAGCAAGGAAUUCGAGGUGAAGCUGAAGGAGUUCACCUGGGAAGAGUGGCGAACCUCAGUGUGAUGAGAGCCAGGUCCUGGGCCCAGCUGUUGGUCUCCUUCACUUCCUCCACGCCAUCACGAGUCCUCUGGGGAAGCACUGGCAGAUCUAGAAUAAAGUUCUCUAAUUUCUACUUCUGGUAAAGACUAGUGAAUUUUCUUCUGGUACAUUUUCUCCCAUGAUAGCAUAGCUAGUUGCUAGGUGUGCAACCAACCAACCUGACCGGCCUUUCCUCCUUACCAAUGGAAGCCAAGCAACUUGCCUUUCCACACUGGCUGCUAGAAAGCUCAGAAUCAAACAUGAAUCAAGUGAAAGCACCAUGUUGGUGCCCAGUAGCUAUAUUUUCGUCCCUGUGACCGAUCCUGUGAGCUGCACACACAGCCCCUCCUGCAAGUCACUCCUCCAAGCCAACCACCUACGUCAAUUAUGGUUUUCCUCGACCCAAACGUUUCACUCGACUGUGCUGAGACAGAGUUUGGAAAAGGAGUCGGAAGCACUGUCAAUACCC
This is a long non-coding RNA of Ictidomys tridecemlineatus (thirteen-lined ground squirrel), 4713 nucleotides long. RefSeq lists it as uncharacterized. Lineage: Eukaryota; Metazoa; Chordata; Mammalia; Rodentia; Sciuridae. The record is from RefSeq and is a predicted model, not a curated record.